CAUGGACGGGGGAAGGAGAUAGC
This 23-nucleotide microRNA is filed under the name Gallus gallus (chicken). RNAcentral describes it as "gga-miR-6658-3p". The record is from miRBase by way of RNAcentral. Lineage: Eukaryota; Metazoa; Chordata; Aves; Galliformes; Phasianidae.